CAAGUCGAGUGCGCGUCCGUAGCAAUACGGAUGGCGCACGGCGCACGGGUGCGUAACACGUGGGCAAUCUGCCCUUCGAUGGGGAAUAACUCCGGGAAACCGAAGCUAAUUCCGCAUAACAUUCCUUGGACUUCGGUUCGAGGACUCAAAGCCGUAAGGCGUCGAAGGAGGAGCCCGCGCCCGAUUAGCUAGUUGGUGAGGUAACGGCUCACCAAGGCAAUGAUCGGUAGCUGGUCUGAGAGGAUGGCCAGCCACACUGGAACUGAGACACGGUCCAGACUCCUACGGGAGGCAGCAGUGGGGAAUCUUGCACAAUGGGCGAAAGCCUGAUGCAGCGACGCCGCGUGGGGGAUGAAGCAUCUCGGUAUGUAAACCCCUUUCGACCCGGAAGAAUGCCUCGCAAGAGGACUGACGGUACGGGUAUAAGAAGCCCCGGCUAACUACGUGCCAGCAGCCGCGGUAAGACGUAGGGGGCCAGCGUUGUUCGGAAUUACUGGGUGUAAAGGGUUCGUAGGCGGUGUGGCAAGUCGGGAGUGAAAUCUCUGGGCUCAACCCAGAGGCUGCUUCCGAAACUGCCGUGCUUGAGUGUGGGAGAGGCGCGUGGAAUUGCAGGUGUAGCGGUGCAAUGCGUAGAUAUCUGCAGGAACACCCGUGGCGAAAGCGGCGCGCUGGACCACUACUGACGCUGAGGAACGAAAGCUAGGGGAGCAAACAGGAUUAGAUACCCUGGUAGUCCUAGCCCUAAACGAUCAGGACUUGGGGUGCCACCCGUUCGGGUGUCGUCCCGGAGCUAACGCGUUAAGUCCUGCACCUGGGGAGUACGGUCGCAAGACUGAAACUCAAAGGAAUUGACGGGGGCCCGCACAA
This 867-nucleotide ribosomal RNA is filed under the name uncultured Acidobacteriota bacterium. RNAcentral's name for it is "bacterial SSU rRNA". It matches the Rfam family "Bacterial small subunit ribosomal RNA", at positions 58 to 928 of the family's 1533-position model. The record is from RNAcentral. Lineage: Bacteria; Pseudomonadati; Acidobacteriota.